This is a long non-coding RNA of Oncorhynchus tshawytscha (Chinook salmon), 1109 nucleotides long. The record is from Ensembl. NCBI's taxonomy places the organism in Eukaryota, Metazoa, Chordata, Actinopteri, Salmoniformes, Salmonidae.
GCAGAAGGAAGGAACUCACGCCUCUAGUAAAAUAGUAUCUCACUCUCUCUCUCUCACCGCAGGUGGAUGGCACACCACGUGGCCCUCUUGCGCUAUCGAGUGUAAUUAUAACACAUUGGCUUUGGGCUUUAAAAUUACAAGCCUGCCCACGGAUUGUUUCAUCUUCUUCUUAAAAUAAUUUACCCCUUCAAAUCCGUGAGUAGGCCUUUAGUUAAGACAGAAUGCAGGUGUUACGGAGGCGCUUGUUGAACGGGAGGCACAAGGCGAAUAGAAGGCACUAGGACCGGGGAGAGUUCCCUCUCAGGAGCGCAGGCUAUGAGCAUCGCAUCCACAUAGCGGGGCUGUGGAGGAAACCCCCCCAUCGGAUCUGGCAAUACAGGAUACUUGCGAUUAUAUCCAUACAUUUAUUUUCCAGUCUGUGGCGUGGUGCGGUUUAGCGGAGUGCACAGUCCUGCGUUUGGGAUGGUUGGGCACACUCCAGAGAAUUCCUGAUCGAACCUCUUGGCAAAAGCGAGCAGGCAGAUUUAGGGGGGAGUUCAGUAGGCUACGCUCUUCCAUUGCCCCCCGUUCGUUUUGUAAAUGCCAUAUUUGUUGCCUUUUAUUUUGUAGUUGGUCAUAAUAAUUUCUUUUUUUUUUUUUUUUACAAUAGAAACCCCCUUUUCUUCGAUCUCUCAGUCUCUCACCUAAAUGCACGUCUGUUUAUUGAGUGAGCUUGGCACUUCUUCAUCCGUCUGAGAACAGAAACAAGAUCCACAUCUUUCUCUUUGGAUUAAACUUCCGUUUAAACCGCCGCGGCUAUCGUCCGAAUGGGUGAUCUGCUUGAAAUACAGUUCUUCAGUGGCACCCUGACACUCCAUGGAAACAUGUUCUCUCUGGCUGAUCCCCGUCGCUGUGAUGUCCAAAGCUUUCCCCACUGACUGACGGACGCUCGUGGAUCAUUUUGUAAAGCGAUUUGAAGGCUGUUAGGUCAAGGGGAAAAUGAGGCCUCCUAGCCCUCUCCUGAUCCUGCUGUAUGUCACCCUGUCCCGUGCCAUGAAGACAGUCUCCAAGAGAGGCUCAGUUUAUUUUUGGCACGCUUUUCAUCCAAAAUUCUGAAUGCUGCCCUCUCU